GAGGUGAUGCAUGAUCCUAGACUCCUGAGCCCAAAGUCAGCUUUUGGUAGUCACUCUGGGAGAGAAGUGUUCAGCACAGAGCUUGUUGGGGCUGCUUCCUGAAGAAUAUUUUUGGGAUCCCGGCCUUUCUCCUCUGUUACCUCCCAGUAGUCCCAGCAGAAGUCCCCAGAGACAUGAUUCUUCAGAAGAAACAGGAAGGCUUUGGCUGCAGCAGUUUCCAUCCGGGUAAGGGUGAAAAUGGAUGAACACAGA
RNAcentral lists this long non-coding RNA (252 nucleotides) under Felis catus (domestic cat). RNAcentral describes it as "lncRNA (ENSFCAG00000051576.1)". The record is from RNAcentral. Lineage: Eukaryota; Metazoa; Chordata; Mammalia; Carnivora; Felidae.